RNAcentral lists this ribosomal RNA (611 nucleotides) under Guignardia sp. H4292. RNAcentral's name for it is "eukaryotic LSU rRNA". The stretch from base 251 to 404 matches the Rfam family "5.8S ribosomal RNA". The record is from RNAcentral. Lineage: Eukaryota; Fungi; Ascomycota; Dothideomycetes; Botryosphaeriales; Phyllostictaceae.
AAGGAUCAUUACUGAAAUAGUAAUUUCUUGAAAGGUUUUUUAGUACGUCGGCCCUAAAAAGCCGGUCGGAACGAGCCUCUCUCACCCUUGUGUACCUUACCGCGUUGCUUUGGCGGGCCGACCCGGCUUCAACCCGGGCGGCCGGCGCCCCCAGCCUCCACCGGCCAGGACGCCCGGCUAAGUGCCCGCCAGUAUACAAAACUCUAGCGAUUAUUUUGUGAAGUCCUGACGUUAUCAUUCAAUUGAUUAAAACUUUCAACAACGGAUCUCUUGGUUCUGGCAUCGAUGAAGAACGCAGCGAAAUGCGAUAAGUAAUGUGAAUUGCAGAAUUCAGUGAAUCAUCGAAUCUUUGAACGCACAUUGCGCCCUCUGGUAUUCCGGAGGGCAUGCCUGUUCGAGCGUCAUUAAAACCUCAAGCUCUGCUUGGUAUUGGGCGACGUCCGCUGCCGGACGCGCCUCGAAGACCUCGGCGACGGCGCCUCAGCCUCGAGCGUAGUAGUAACAUCUCGCUUUGGAGCGCUGGGCGGCGGCCGCCGGACAACCGACCUUUGGUCCAUUUUUUUUUUUCCAAGGUUGACCUCGGAUCAGGUAGGGAUACCCGCUGAACUUAA